This 75-nucleotide transfer RNA is filed under the name Alphaproteobacteria bacterium. RNAcentral's name for it is "tRNA-Val". It matches the Rfam family "tRNA". Rfam says of the family: Transfer RNA (tRNA) molecules are approximately 80 nucleotides in length. Their secondary structure includes four short double-helical elements and three loops (D, anti-codon, and T loops). Lineage: Bacteria; Pseudomonadati; Pseudomonadota; Alphaproteobacteria. The record is from RNAcentral.
UCCCCAGUCGUCUAACGGUAGGACGCCCGCCUUACUAGUGAGGAAAUCCAGGUCCGAAUCCUAGCCGGGGAACCA